CAGACGAGGAUAACAGUUGGAAACGACUGCUAAGACUGGAUAGGAAGUUUUAAGGCAUCUUGAAACUUUUAAAAGACCCGCAAGGGUAUGCUGAGAGAUGGGCUUGCGGCACAUUAGUUAGUUGGUAAGGUAACGGCUUACCAAGACCAUGAUGUGUAGCUGGACUGAGAGGUUGAACGGCCACAUUGGGACUGAGAUACGGCCCAAACUCCUACGGGAGGCAGCAGUAAGGAAUUUUCGGCAAUGGAGGAAACUCUGACCGAGCAACGCCGCGUGAACGAUGAAGUAUUUAGGUAUGUAAAGUUCUUUUAUUAAAGAAGAAAAAAUGAUGGAAAAAUCAUUCUGACGGUAUUUAAUGAAUAAGCCCCGGCUAACUAUGUGCCAGCAGCUGCGGUAAUACAUGGGGGGCAAGCGUUAUCCGGAUUUAUUGGGCGUAAAGGGUGCGUAGGCGGUUUAAUAAGUCUAUGGUCUAAGUUCAACGCUUAACGUUGUGAUGCUAUAGAAACUGUUUGACUAGAGUUGGAUAGAGGCAAGUGGAAUUCCAUGUGUAGCGGUAAAAUGCGUAAAGAUAUGGAGGAACACCAGUAGCGAAGGCGGCUUGCUGGGUCUUAACUGACGCUGAGGCACGAAAGCGUGGGGAGCAAACAGGAUUAGAUACCCUGGUAGUCCACGCCGUAAACGAUGAGUACUAAGUGUUGGGUUAAACCAGUGCUGAAGUUAACGCAUUAAGUACUCCGCCUGAGUAGUACGUACGCAAGUAUGAAACUUAAAGGAAUUGACGGGACUCCGCACAAGCGGUGGAUCAUGUUGUUUAAUUCGAAGAUACACGAAAAACCUUACCAGGUCUUGACAUACUCUGCAAAGCUAUAGAAAUAUAGUGGAGGUUAUCAGGGAUACAGGUGGUGCAUGGUUGUCGUCAGCUCGUGUCGUGAGAUGUUGGGUUAAGUCCCGCAACGAGCGCAACCCUUAUCGCUAGUUACCAUCAUUUAGUUGGGCACUUUAGUGAGACUGCCAAUGAUAAAUUGGAGGAAGGUGGGGAUUACGUCAAAUCAUCAUGCCCCUUAUGACCUGGGCUACAAACGUGAUACAAUGGCUGUUACAAAGAGUAGCUGAAGCGUGAGUUUUUAGCAAAUCUCAAAAAAACAGUCUCAGUUCGGAUUGAAGUCUGCAACUCGACUUCAUGAAGUCGGAAUCGCUAGUAAUCGCGAAUCAGCAUGUCGUGGUGAAUACGUUCUCGGGGUUUGUACACACCGCCCGUCAAACCAUGAAAGUUGACAAUACCCGAAACCAGUAGCCUAACUUGCAAAAGAGGGAACUGUCUAAGGUAGGGUUGAUGAUUGGGGUUAAGUCGUAACAAGGUAUCC
Molecule: ribosomal RNA, 1364 nt
Filed under: Candidatus Phytoplasma pyri
Lineage: Bacteria; Bacillati; Mycoplasmatota; Mollicutes; Acholeplasmatales; Acholeplasmataceae
Description: bacterial SSU rRNA
Rfam family: Bacterial small subunit ribosomal RNA
Source: RNAcentral